UACGGCGGGGGCUAGCGUUGUUCGGAAUUACUGGGCGUAAAGCGCGCGUAGGCGGCUUUGUAAGUUAGAGGUGAAAUCCCGGAGCUCAACUCCGGAACUGCCUUUGAAACUGCAGUGCUAGAAUUCUGGAGAGGCGAGUGGAAUUCCGAGUGUAGAGGUGAAAUUCGUAGAUAUUCGGAAGAACACCAGUGGCGAAGGCGACUCGCUGGACAGAUAUUGACGCUGAGGUGCGAAAGCGUGGGGAGCAAACAGG
RNAcentral lists this ribosomal RNA (253 nucleotides) under uncultured bacterium. RNAcentral describes it as "partial 16S ribosomal RNA". It matches the Rfam family "Bacterial small subunit ribosomal RNA", at positions 524 to 776 of the family's 1533-position model. The record is from RNAcentral.